AACGCGAAGAACCUUACCAGGUCUUGACAUCCCUCUGACCGGUCCUUAACCGGACCUUUCCUUCGGGACAGAGGAGACAGGUGGUGCAUGGUUGUCGUCAGCUCGUGUCGUGAGAUGUUGGGUUAAGUCCCGCAACGAGCGCAACCCCUAUCCUUAGUAGCCAGCAGUUCGGCUGGGCACUCUAGGGAGACUGCCAGGGAUAACCUGGAGGAAGGCGGGGAUGACGUCAAAUCAUCAUGCCCCUUAUGAUCUGGGCUACACACGUGCUACAAUGGUGGCUACAAAGAGAAGCGACCUCGCGAGAGUAAGCAAAUCUCAAAAAGGCCAUCCCAGUUCGGAUUGUAGUCUGCAACUCGACUACAUGAAGCUGGAAUCGCUAGUAAUCGCGAAUCAGAAUGUCGCGGUGAAUACGUUCCCGGGUCUUGUACACACGC
Molecule: ribosomal RNA, 434 nt
Filed under: uncultured bacterium
Lineage: Bacteria
Description: bacterial SSU rRNA
Rfam family: Bacterial small subunit ribosomal RNA
Source: RNAcentral